Molecule: ribosomal RNA, 253 nt
Filed under: uncultured bacterium
Lineage: Bacteria
Description: partial 16S ribosomal RNA
Rfam family: Bacterial small subunit ribosomal RNA
Source: RNAcentral
UACGUAGGGGGCUAGCGUUGUCCGGAAUCAUUGGGCGUAAAGCGCGCGUAGGCGGCCCGGUAAGUCCGCUGUAAAAGUCAGAGGCUCAACCUUUGAAUGUCAGUGGAUACUGCCGGGCUAGAGUACAGAAGGGGCAACUGGAAUUCUCGGUGUAGCGGUGAAAUGCGUAGAUAUCGAGAGGAACACCUGCGGCGAAGGCGGGUUGCUGGGCUGAUACUGACGCUGAGGCGCGAAAGCCAGGGGAGCGAACGGG